AAUAGAUACCCUGGUAGUCCACGCCGUAAACGAUGAGUGCUAAGUGUUAGAGGGUUUCCGCCCUUUAGUGCUGCAGCUAACGCAUUAAGCACUCCGCCUGGGGAGUACGGUCGCAAGACUGAAAACUCAAAGGAAGUUGACGGGGGCCCGCACAAGCGGUGGAGCAUGUGGUUUAAUUCGAAGCAACGCGAAGAACCUUACCAGGUCUUGACAUCCUCUGACAACUCUAGAGAUAGAGCGUUCCCCUUCGGGGGACAGAGUGACAGGUGGUGCAUGGUUGUCGUCAGCUCGUGUCGUGAGAUGUUGGGUUAAGUCCCGCAACGAGCGCAACCCUUGAUCUUAGUUGCCAGCAUUUAGUUGGGCACUCUAAGGUGACUGCCGGUGACAAACCGGAGGAAGGUGGGGAUGACGUCAAAUCAUCAUGCCCCUUAUGACCUGGGCUACACACGUGCUACAAUGGAUGGUACAAAAGGGCUGCAAGACCGCGAGGUCAAGCCAAUCCCAUAAAACCAUUCUCAGUUCGGAUUGUAGG
Molecule: ribosomal RNA, 532 nt
Filed under: uncultured bacterium
Lineage: Bacteria
Description: bacterial SSU rRNA
Rfam family: Bacterial small subunit ribosomal RNA
Source: RNAcentral